GGGCCAUAUUUAGCUGUACAUCCUCUCAACUGUUAACUGUAUUAUUCUUUUAAGGAAGUCAUUAACUGUUCACUAAACUCUUCCUAUAGUGGUUUUACAAUGCAAGCACGGUGAAAUGUGGUUCUCUGCAGGGUAAAUAGUUCUUCGUAGUGAAAGAGUCAGCGCACACAUAUGUUACUAGAAUAAACGAGGAGAACCUCUAGAAAUGUUUGGCAUGAUCAGCAAAUAAUUUCUGUUCAUCUGCCCUCCAACAGCUGCUAAUGCAAACUUCAUACAUUUAAACGACUUCCUAUUUUUUUACAGCUGAUCCUGUGACUAUCACUCAUCCCUCCCAGAAAUGAUAUUUUCAGUUGCAUUUUCGUUUCAGCUUGAAGGAGAGAGGUGAUUUGCACAUCCUGGCUGGUUCAGCAGUUGCAGCUGAAGAAGUUUUCUUCAUUGCGUCAUCCUGGACCAGUUCCUACGAUUCAUCUCGCACUGCUCUGCUAUACUUUCCCUGUACAAAGUGGAACCAUCGACUUUCAGCCUAGAAGGUCUAUUUUAAGAUUAAGGGGACAUGAAAUGAGGAAGAUCGUAAGUGAAGUCUCUGUGAAGAAGUUCACUGCACUUCCUCUUUAUGAAAACAAACGGCAGGCUGCCUCUGGCAAAUAUGAGGGUUUUUUUAAUGGAAAUGUACAGUGAAGACCUUAAUCCUUGAACCUGUCACAGCCCUGUUCUGUGAAGCCUGUGUGGAGUUUACAUGGGAGCUAUAAAUCAGAAAGAGAUAGCACAGAAAUAAGCAGUCUGUACUUCCCUUGGAUGGCAAUUGCAUUAAACUGCAGGUGUGCACAUCCCCUCCAAGCCCUGAUCCCAGCCAAACCACCGUGACCACCUGCGCCAUCACCAAAUCCUGCCAUGUCAGGGGGAGAAGCAAUGCAUGGAGAGCUCUGUUGGCUCAAGCUUUCCUUCAAGACCUACUCAGUGAAAUUGAAGAUUUGAUCGUGAUGGGUUGUAGCAAGUCUCUCAGGUCAGGAACAGCGCUGGUUGGCUUAAGAAUGAAGAGAAUGGAAACCCUACAUUUAACGAAGCACCGGAGAGGAAAAUGAUCUAGGCAAUUCCCAGACUAUUUCUCUCCCCUCCAUAAAGUCUGGUUCUGGAAGACUCUGUGAUUUAAAAUGCGUUUUGCAGGGAAAGGCAAUCACAAGCAUGGGGGUAACUGGAAAAUGGCUUAAAACGGUAGGAGUAGAGAUUUCUCUUUAAUAAGGAGCUGAUCGUGUGGAUGAUGGAAAUUUUACGGGUCGCAGAUCUCAUCUAUCUGGACUCCAGUGAACCAACUGAUGGGAGAACACGGGGGAAAUUAUUUGUUGAAAGGGGGAAGAGGGGAUCUAAUGACAAAGGCCAAGAAAUAGGUAAAAAGCAUCAAUAGGGAAUUACGAGAUUAGAGGAUAAUUCUGGUAGAAGGGUCAGACUGAGGAGCAAUUUUAUUUAUUUUUUGUAUCUUGAUUAAUGGUGUUAUGCUUUAAAACAGCGUGCCUGUGACACGGACCUCAGAACAUUGUCAGGUUGGACUGGGAUAUUGGAUGGGGAGAACGAGGUGACUUUGAAGGCACAAGUAACUAAUGGGGAUUAUAGAAAUGGAAUGGCAAAUGGGAAUUCAGACACUUAGGGAUCAAAAAUGAUGAUUCCUACAAUAAACCAGGAGUUGAAUUAAGAGCAGAAGGAAAAAUUGCAGGUGCCUCAGUUAUUGGCAGGCCAUAAAUCACCAACACAACGUGACAAGCAAUGAAGUAAGUACUGAAACAUUUCCAGUGGAAAUGGGAAUUGUUGAUCCUAUUUUUCAAGGUACUGGUGAGAUAUAACCUAGAGGUUUGCCUUCGAUUCUGGCUACCAGAAGUUGAAAAAGAUAAACUAAGUCUGGGAAGGGCAGGAGCAGCAGGACACAUCGAGAGUGUCCGAGCCAGGAGGACAUCUGUUCCUGGACCUUGGUGUGUGUACAUGCUCAACCUGGCCCACAUCUCCUCCACCCUGCCAGAGCAAGGUCUGGGCAACCACCACCAGCAAGUCCCUGCUCUCCUCCAGGGGCACCUCCUCUGGGGCAGCUGCCCCAGGACAUUGGGUUCAAAAGGAGCUGAAGAGUCUUGAGCUGGAGCUUGGUCCAUUUAGCAAAGACCUCAGUGAGCUGCUGGACCCCGUCUCAGCCACCCGCAUGCCCCAGGAUCCUUGGAAGCUGUUGGCUCCGUGUUAUCCCAUCGGUACAGACCCAGCUGUGUUCCCAGAGGACCUCUGGCAGCACUGAACAGCCAGUUCCUGGAGUGUUGUGUAGAGCUGUAGAAAUGGUCUACGGUUCUCAGUUAUUCACCUUUUGCAAUGGCAUUUAGUCAACCCUUGCUUGCACCACGGCAGCAAAAGAUUUCUUCUUAUUCCUGAACUUGAGUACUGCCGCCUUCUGUUCUAUUCCUACUGUAUUUUUCUCAACUUCUUUUACAUUGCUGAGGAAGAAGCCAGUGAAUCAAACAGCUUUAAAACAACGUUUUUUCAGCAUGAGAUUUUUCUAAUAUGUCUUGUGGGCAGCAGUUGCUAUUACCAGCCUCUUGUGCCUGUCUCUGUGGGAUUCGUUUUCCCCUCAUGGCAGUAUUAAGUGAAUACAAUCCUGCCAUUACCUACGGUGUUUCCAAGGUGAGUCAAGCAAUUUCAGUGGGUUCUCGGAAGCUGGCAUGCUUGACUGCAGCAAUUUCUGUCACGUUGAAAGUGCCACAUCCCAACUCAUGGGGAGUAAUUAGCUCCACUGUGUGGAGCCAACCCUGGUUACAAGGUAAAGGGAUUGAGAAAAUGUUGAGGAAGUGGGAGAGUUGCGAUUCGAAACGUGGAGAGCCACCCAAGAUCCCAUGCUGUGAAAGUUGUGGGAGAUAUCUGCUAGUGGUACGGUGUGAGUCAAUGCUUCUGUCCCUCUGCAGGAUCCUCCCCCAUGUCCUUCCUCACGCAGCUGUGCCGGUCAGGGAUGAUCCAUAUGGUUCCAGCUACUUGGAUUUUCAGGAUUUCUGCACGAGUUUCAAAGAGCUACUAGAAUGUAAUGGGAAAUGUGAUCACAAGGAGGCUUGUCUUGGUAGAUUUCCUAUUUAGUUAAUAAGUCUGUUUAUUUAGACUUAGCGAUUUCCUGUGGUCUACAGCGUGUUUCCAGAGAGGAAGCUCAAGUGCUGCUGUAUAACUGCUGUCCAUAAGCAACGCCGGAGAAAGAAAAUAUACAAGCCACUUCCAUUAUUUCACGGUUCGGAAGUGAUCGUGCUUCUUGGUAGUCACGCGUCUCUUACUCAGAGCUCUCCAUGUACUUGCCCUUUCACGAGGUCACUUUCUCUUGCUAAAAUUAAUGCUGCCUAGAUACUGAUCUCGUGCCAGAAGAGCUGGUGACACCACUAACUCCACCACACCACACACAUUGCUCUCCCCAGAAAACACCUUACCGAAGGAGCCCAGCCUGCCCCAGCCCCAGCUACAAGCUGGCCCAAAACGGGGUCCAUUCCCCAGCACCCUGCAGCUCCAGAUGACCUGCCCUGGUAGCACUGUGCUCACACUGCCUUAUUCCACAGAGAUACCCAAAAGGACUGGGUCACAGCCUGUUCUGCUGAGCCAGGUGUAGGACUGAUGGCUUCUUGCCUUCCAACCCCCCACACCACGAGUUAAAUUCCCAUCUAGUGCUGCAGUGACAUUUAUUAAAAGCAAUAGCAAAACCACUCUCAGAACUGUGCAGCAUCCUGUUUCUGUCCGAAAACAAUCCACUUACAAGGAGGAGCAUCAUCACUCAACACUACAGGAAUUAAUAGAAAAGGAAAAUGAAGUGGGGCAUGUUAUGACUGGUUGCCAACACCAGGCAGCUCACGUUGUUCCACGGGAGCCUCUCAGAGUUCAUCCCCAUAACACCGAUUAAAUCAGUUGUCAGUAAUCUGGCUAAAGAUGGCCUAUGGGGCUGAGGUCAAACAGAGGAAGGAAAAUCACAGCAAUAAAGGAAAGUGAAUCCAGGAUAACACACGCAAGAGCAAGAAAUAAGAAACCCGUCUCUCCCCAUCCAGCAACAUGAAUGGUUAUUAAAUUUCUAUGAAAUCACUA
This is a non-coding RNA of Anas platyrhynchos (mallard), 4077 nucleotides long. Lineage: Eukaryota; Metazoa; Chordata; Aves; Anseriformes; Anatidae. The record is from RefSeq and is a predicted model, not a curated record.